CAUACACUCCUACGGGAGGCAGCAGUGGGGAAUAUUGGACAAUGGGCGCAAGCCUGAUCCAGCCAUGCCGCGUGAGUGAUGAAGGCCCUAGGGUUGUAAAGCUCUUUCACCGGUGAAGAUAAUGACGGUAACCGGAGAAGAAGCCCCGGCUAACUUCGUGCCAGCAGCCGCGGUAAUACGAAGGGGGCUAGCGUUGUUCGGAUUUACUGGGCGUAAAGCGCACGUAGGCGGACUAUUAAGUCAGGGGUGAAAUCCCGGGGCUCAACCCCGGAACUGCCUUUGAUACUGGUAGUCUUGAGUUCGAGAGAGGUGAGUGGAAUUCCGAGUGUAGAGGUGAAAUUCGUAGAUAUUCGGAGGAACACCAGUGGCGAAGGCGGCUCACUGGCUCGAUACUGACGCUGAGGUGCGAAAGCGUGGGGAGCAAACAGGAUUAGAAACCCCAGUAGUCCCAUGA
Molecule: ribosomal RNA, 454 nt
Filed under: uncultured organism
Description: partial 16S ribosomal RNA
Rfam family: Bacterial small subunit ribosomal RNA
Source: RNAcentral